GUAGCUGGUCUGAGAGGAUGAUCAGCCACACCGGGACUGAGACACGGCCCGGACUCCUACGGGAGGCAGCAGUGGGGAAUAUUGGACAAUGGGGGAAACCCUGAUCCAGCCAUGCCGCGUGUGUGAAGAAGGCCUUUUGGUUGUAAAGCACUUUAAGCAGUGAAGAAGACUCUUCGGUUAAUACCCGGAGACGAUGACAUUAGCUGCAGAAUAAGCACCGGCUAACUCUGUGCCAGCAGCCGCGGUAAUACAGAGGGUGCAAGCGUUAAUCGGAAUUACUGGGCGUAAAGCGAGCGUAGGUGGCUUGAUAAGUCAGAUGUGAAAUCCCCGGGCUUAACCUGGGAACUGCAUCUGAUACUGUCAGGCUAGAGUAGGUGAGAGGAAGGUAGAAUUCCAGGUGUAGCGGUGAAAUGCGUAGAGAUCUNNGGAGGAAUACCGAUGGCGAAGGCAGCCUUCUGGCAUCAUACUGACACUGAGGCUCGAAAGCGUGGGUAGCAAACAGGAUUAGAUACCCUGGUAGUCCACGCCGUAAACGAUGUCUACUAGUCGUUGGGUCCCUUGAGGACUUAGUGACGCAGCUAACGCAAUAAGUAGACCGCCUGGGGAGUACGGCCGNCAAGGUUAAAACUCAAAUGAAUUGACGGGGGCCCGCACAAGCGGUGGAGCAUGUGGUUUAAUUCGAUGCAACGCGAAGAACCUUACCUGGUCUUGACAUAUCUAGAAUCCUGCAGAGAUGCGGGAGUGCCUUCGGGAAUUAGGAUACAGGUGCUGCAUGGCUGUCGUCAGCUCGUGUCGUGAGAUGUUGGGUUAAGUCCCGCAACGAGCGCAACCCUUGUCCUUAGUUACCAGCGGGUUAAGCCGGGAACUCUAAGGAUACUGCCAGUGACAAACUGGAGGAAGGCGGGGACGACGUCAAGUCAUCAUGGCCCUUACGACCAGGGCUACACACCUGCUACAAUGGUAGGUACAGAGGGCAGCUACACAGCGAUGUGAUGCGAAUCUCAAAAAGCCUAUCGUAGUCCAGAUUGGAGUCUGCAACUCGACUCCAUGAAGUAGGAAUCGCUAGUAAUCGCGGAUCAGAAUGCCGCGGUGAAU
This 1095-nucleotide ribosomal RNA is filed under the name uncultured Psychrobacter sp. Its description in RNAcentral is "bacterial SSU rRNA". It matches the Rfam family "Bacterial small subunit ribosomal RNA", at positions 283 to 1367 of the family's 1533-position model. The record is from RNAcentral. Lineage: Bacteria; Pseudomonadati; Pseudomonadota; Gammaproteobacteria; Moraxellales; Moraxellaceae.